This 1149-nucleotide ribosomal RNA is filed under the name Escherichia coli. Its description in RNAcentral is "partial 23S ribosomal RNA". It matches the Rfam family "Bacterial large subunit ribosomal RNA", at positions 1 to 1191 of the family's 2925-position model. The record is from RNAcentral. Lineage: Bacteria; Pseudomonadati; Pseudomonadota; Gammaproteobacteria; Enterobacterales; Enterobacteriaceae.
GGUUAAGCGACUAAGCGUACACGGUGGAUGCCCUGGCAGUCAGAGGCGAUGAAGGACGUGCUAAUCUGCGAUAAGCGUCGGUAAGGUGAUAUGAACCGUUAUAACCGGCGAUUUCCGAAUGGGGAAACCCAGUGUGUUUCGACACACUAUCAUUAACUGAAUCCAUAGGUUAAUGAGGCGAACCGGGGGAACUGAAACAUCUAAGUACCCCGAGGAAAAGAAAUCAACCGAGAUUCCCCCAGUAGCGGCGAGCGAACGGGGAGCAGCCCAGAGCCUGAAUCAGUGUGUGUGUUAGUGGAAGCGUCUGGAAAGGCGCGCGAUACAGGGUGACAGCCCCGUACACAAAAAUGCACAUGCUGUGAGCUCGAUGAGUAGGGCGGGACACGUGGUAUCCUGUCUGAAUAUGGGGGGACCAUCCUCCAAGGCUAAAUACUCCUGACUGACCGAUAGUGAACCAGUACCGUGAGGGAAAGGCGAAAAGAACCCCGGCGAGGGGAGUGAAAAAGAACCUGAAACCGUGUACGUACAAGCAGUGGGAGCACGCUUCGGCGUGUGACUGCGUACCUUUUGUAUAAUGGGUCAGCGACUUAUAUUCUGUAGCAAGGUUAACCGAAUAGGGGAGCCGAAGGGAAACCGAGUCUUAACUGGGCGUUAAGUUGCAGGGUAUAGACCCGAAACCCGGUGAUCUAGCCAUGGGCAGGUUGAAGGUUGGGUAACACUAACUGGAGGACCGAACCGACUAAUGUUGAAAAAUUAGCGGAUGACUUGUGGCUGGGGGUGAAAGGCCAAUCAAACCGGGAGAUAGCUGGUUCUCCCCGAAAGCUAUUUAGGUAGCGCCUCGUGAAUUCAUCUCCGGGGGUAGAGCACUGUUUCGGCAAGGGGGUCAUCCCGACUUACCAACCCGAUGCAAACUGCGAAUACCGGAGAAUGUUAUCACGGGAGACACACGGCGGGUGCUAACGUCCGUCGUGAAGAGGGAAACAACCCAGACCGCCAGCUAAGGUCCCAAAGUCAUGGUUAAGUGGGAAACGAUGUGGGAAGGCCCAGACAGCCAGGAUGUUGGCUUAGAAGCAGCCAUCAUUUAAAGAAAGCGUAAUAGCUCACUGGUCGAGUCGGCCUGCGCGGAAGAUGUAACGGGGCUAAACCAUG